This 154-nucleotide ribosomal RNA is filed under the name uncultured Erysiphaceae. RNAcentral describes it as "5.8S ribosomal RNA". It matches the Rfam family "5.8S ribosomal RNA". From Rfam's summary of the family: 5.8S ribosomal RNA (5.8S rRNA) is a component of the large subunit of the eukaryotic ribosome. It is transcribed by RNA polymerase I as part of the 45S precursor that also contains 18S and 28S rRNA. Functionally, it is thought that 5.8S rRNA may be involved in ribosome translocation. Lineage: Eukaryota; Fungi; Ascomycota; Leotiomycetes; Helotiales; Erysiphaceae. The record is from RNAcentral.
AAACUUUCAACAACGGAUCUCUUGGCUCUGGCAUCGAUGAAGAACGCAGCGAAAUGCGAUAAGUAAUGUGAAUUGCAGAAUCUAGUGAAUCAUCGAAUCUUUGAACGCACAUUGCGCCCCUUGGUAUUCCGAGAGGCAUGCCUGUUCGAGCGUC